AGCGGCGGAUGGGAGAGUAACACGUGGGGAACCUGCCCCUAAGUCUGGGAUACCAUUUGGAAACAGGUGCUAAUACCGGAUAAUAAAGCAGAUCGCAUGAUCAGCUUUUGAAAGGCGGCGUAAGCUGUCGCUAAGGGAUGGCCCCGCGGUGCAUUAGCUAGUUGGUAAGGUAACGGCUUACCAAGGCGACGAUGCAUAGCCGAGUUGAGAGACUGGUCAGCCACAUUGGGACUGAGACACGGCCCAAACUCCUACGGGAGGCAGCAGUAGGGAAUCUUCCACAAUGGACGCAAGUCUGAUGGAGCAACGCCGCGUGAGUGAAGAAGGUUUUCGGAUCGUAAAGCUCUGUUGUUGGUGAAGAAGGAUAGAGGUAGUAACUGGCCUUUAUUUGACGGUAAUCAACCAGAAAGUCACGGCUAACUACGUGCCAGCAGCCGCGGUAAUACGUAGGUGGCAAGCGUUGUCCGGAUUUAUUGGGCGUAAAGCGAGCGCAGGCGGAAAAAUAAGUCUAAUGUGAAAGCCCUCGGCUUAACCGAGGAACUGCAUCGGAAACUGUUUUUCUUGAGUGCAGAAGAGGAGAGUGGAACUCCAUGUGUAGCGGUGGAAUGCGUAGAUAUAUGGAAGAACACCAGUGGUGAAGGCGGCUCUCUGGUCUGCAACUGACGCUGAGGCUCGAAAGCAUGGGUAGCGAACAGGAUUAGAUACCCUGGUAGUCCAUGCCGUAAACGAUGAGUGCUAAGUGU
Molecule: ribosomal RNA, 743 nt
Filed under: uncultured bacterium
Lineage: Bacteria
Description: bacterial SSU rRNA
Rfam family: Bacterial small subunit ribosomal RNA
Source: RNAcentral